UUUCAUUUUUCCGUGUCCAACGUUUGACCAUUCGUCUUAUUUAAAAAAAUUCUAUAAAAAUUUAAAAAAAUUAGUCACGUAUAAAGUACUAUUCAUAUUUUAUCAUCUCGUAAUAAUAAAAAUAUUAAUAAAAAAUUUCAAAUAAGACGAAUGGUCAAACGUUGGGAAAAAAAAU
This 175-nucleotide microRNA precursor is filed under the name Oryza brachyantha (malo sina). Its description in RNAcentral is "MIR812 microRNA precursor family". It matches the Rfam family "MIR812 microRNA precursor family", at positions 19 to 188 of the family's 205-position model. The record is from Rfam by way of RNAcentral. Lineage: Eukaryota; Viridiplantae; Streptophyta; Magnoliopsida; Poales; Poaceae.